CUUUCCUGGAAUGUUUUUUAUUUUUUGCGAACACCCUGCAGUUCAGACCAUUUUCUUUCUCAAUGUUUAAAUCACUUUAAAAAUACCAGGCAUAUUAUAAUGAUUUGUCCACAUACGUCAGCUAAUACAAUGGGAGGUUUGAGGUUUCCUGCUUUUCUCUUGGUGCUCUUAUACACUUCUGUGGUCCAGAUAGAUGGAAAAGUGCUAGAAAUGGGCAUGUUUCCUGAAGUUGCUGAUUACUCAUUCCAGAAAUGUCGGAAAGAAAUGUUGCAAAUGGUCACAAAACCUGGAGGUCUCCUGGACACAGAGCUUAACAACAAUGUAGAUUUUAAAACUAUGUAGCAAAGUAAUCCAACAUGCAAGACGGCCAUUCCAGAUAUUACACCGAAGCACAUGGCUGCACUGCAGAGCUAUGCAGGAGCUAGUCCUACAUUUCGUAGAAACUUCAAGGAGUUGCUUCAGAAAAGUAACGGCAGUUCAACUUAUCAAGAUGAGUUUCCUUUCAAAUCUCUUUUUUUCCUGCUGACAGAUGCAAUGCAACUCAUAGGUAAAAACAAGUGUCGUACAGUGUACUCUGGCACAGUAAAAGAAUAUGGCACCAGUGUUGGGGAGAAAGUACAUUUUAAGAGUUUUUUUUCCAGCAAAACUGCAGUAUACUGAAGCAACUGAAAUUACAUCUCUCAGUGAUGACAUUGGGACUGUUUUCAACAUCACUUCCUGUUUUCCCUUACGAAAAAAGAAGUUUAUUGAAGUGUGCUAUUAGUAUACUUCUUUUAAAAUAAAAAAAAGGAUAGUAUACUUUCAGUCUACUUUUUAUGUACUUCUCAGAAAUGUGCUUUAUAUACUUAUCAGAAAUAUACUUAAAAUUACAUUUAAGUAUACUUGAUUUAUACUUAGAAAAAGUAUUUGAGCUAUACUUGUGCUCUGAGAAUCUGUUUUCAUUGUUAUACAUGAGAGAUGCUAUUACACAUCUUCUGUACAAAAUUUCCAAAACACAAGCGAAGAAACGAAAACAGAUGCUUCCACACUGUAAAAAAUGCAAAUACAUAUUUUCCAUUUUACGAAACAUUUUGUCUCAAACACUAAAAAAAUGCUGUUUUUUUAAAACUAAAAACCCUUGUCAGACCAAUAAAAUUACACUAAUGUUGUCCCAACUAGUCAAACACAGUUGUCUGAGCAAAGAAUUUCAUAUUGUUGAAAUUUUAAGGCUUUGUAAGUUCCCAGCAUGCAUUGCAGCAUGAAUAAAUUAUCCUGUUACUGUUAUAGGAUUAUUGUUUUGCUGUUUGCUGACUUCAUUUAAACAUUUUUUGUUGUUGUUUUGUCGUUACUGUUAGUUAUUUGUUGUACUGUGACGUACAGAUCUAAUCUUUUUAAUAUUUGGCUGAUUGCCACCGUUCUUGAGGUUUGUGUAUCUAGCUUUGAGGCCUAGAUACUUUCAACCAAUUAUGUUAAUUCCCUGGAUAUCUUAAUUUUGUAAAAUGCUUUACAAACAAAGACAAUGUUGUCUACAUAUUACACUAAGUUAUUCAUAAUGUUUAUUAUGUUCAGAUAUUCAUAUAACAAAAUAUAUACAAAUUAAUACCUAAAUAGGGACAUAGUAGUAUACUUAAAGUAUGAUAUAAAGUUCACUUAAAGAAAACUUACGAGUAUACUUAAAGUAUAAAACUACUAAUCUUGUAGUUUACUGGGACUUUACUUGAAAGUGUACUAAAAAUGCAUAAAGAAGUAUUUAAUUAGUAAACUAUCAGUAUACCUAUUAGUUCACUUUUAGUAUACUUGCAGUACAAACUGAAAACAUAGAUGUAAACUAGUUGUGUACUCAAAGUUUACUACUGUUAUACUUAAAGUAUACUUAAAAGUAUACUUUUAUAUACUAGAAAGUGGGCCAAUUUAGUCCCAAGGAGUAUAAAAGUAGUAAACUGAAAAGUAUACUACUAGUAUGCUGAUAUUUGUAUACUUACUACAUAAAGUAUACUUAAAAAUAUACUUGAACUUUACUCAAGUAUACUUAAUAAAAUAAACUUGAAGUAUACUUCUUUUUGGUAAGGGUUGUGAUCAACCUUGAAGAUCAUGAAUGUGAUUCCGAGAAAAUUGAGCUGCUAAUAUCGCCCACUGAAGAUUUUACAGUUACGGACAUCAGGAUUAUUAGCAAUAGCAAUGAUGAGUUUAAAGAGAUCACCUUAAAACAUUUUAGCAGUCAGAGUUCUUCGAACUGCACUGGUCUUGCCAGGUAAGAGAUAGAGAGAGCAGUAAAGAUUUGUUUGAUUGUAUAAAAAAAUAUUAAUAUGUGA
Molecule: long non-coding RNA, 2291 nt
Organism: Labeo rohita (rohu)
Lineage: Eukaryota; Metazoa; Chordata; Actinopteri; Cypriniformes; Cyprinidae
Exons: 3
Source: RefSeq, a predicted model, not a curated record